GGUGGCUCAAUGGUAGAGCUCUUGCCUUGCAUGCAUGAAGCCCUGAGUUCGAUUCCUCAGCACCA
RNAcentral lists this transfer RNA (65 nucleotides) under Dipodomys ordii (Ord's kangaroo rat). It matches the Rfam family "tRNA". From Rfam's summary of the family: Transfer RNA (tRNA) molecules are approximately 80 nucleotides in length. Their secondary structure includes four short double-helical elements and three loops (D, anti-codon, and T loops). Lineage: Eukaryota; Metazoa; Chordata; Mammalia; Rodentia; Heteromyidae. The record is from Rfam by way of RNAcentral.